This is a long non-coding RNA of Homo sapiens (human), 397 nucleotides long. Ensembl annotates it as GK intronic transcript 1. Its record names the gene GK-IT1. The record is from Ensembl. NCBI's taxonomy places the organism in Eukaryota, Metazoa, Chordata, Mammalia, Primates, Hominidae.
UGUUAUGCUUAUCUGACAGAAGGUUUGUUGAUUUCAAGUCACUAGGAACAGUGCCUCCAAAAUUAAAAUUCACUCUCCAACUGAGCAGCACACACUAGCUCAAGGCAAUUAAAUAGACUGCUUCUUUCCUUCUAGCGGUAGAGUCAGCUCUGUUUGCCUGUCACUGGGCUCAAGGAAUUACAAAGUAUAAAGAGUUACAGUAGCAAUUCCAAAAUACAAAGAGUUACGGCUGGGCAUGGUGGCUCACACCUGUAAUCCCACUACUCAGGAGGCUGAAGCAGGAAAAACGCUUGAACCCAGGAGGCAGAGGUAGCAGUGAGCCAAGAUCACGCCGAGCCGAGAUCAUGCCAUUGUACUCCAGCCUGGGCAACAAGAGCAAAACUCCAUCUCAAAAAAA